This 301-nucleotide ribosomal RNA is filed under the name uncultured bacterium. RNAcentral's name for it is "partial 16S ribosomal RNA". It matches the Rfam family "Bacterial small subunit ribosomal RNA", at positions 509 to 807 of the family's 1533-position model. The record is from RNAcentral.
CAGCCGCCGCGGGAAAACGGAGGGUGCAAGCGUUAAUCGGAAUUACUGGGCGUAAAGCGCACGCAGGCGGUCUGACAAGUCAGAUGUGAAAUCCCCGGGCUUAACCUGGGAACUGCAUUUGAAACUGUCAGGCUGGAGUCUUGUAGAGGGGGGUGGAAUUCCAGGUGUAGCGGUGAAAUGCGUAGAGAUCUGGAGGAAUACCGGUGGCGAAGGCGGCCCCCUGGACAAAGACUGACGCUCAGGUGCGAAAGCGUGGGGAGCAAACAGGAUUAGAGACCCGCGUAGUCCCUGUCUCUUAUAC